UCGAGAAUUUUUCACAAUGGGCGCAAGCCUGAUGGAGCGACGCCGCGUGGGGGAUGAAGGGCUUCGGCUCGUAAACCCCUGUCAUUCGCGAGCAAAACCUGUUUGCUAAUACCAGACAGGCCGAUAGUAGCGGAAGCGGAAGGGACGGCUAACUCUGUACCAGCAGCCGCGGUAAUACAGAGGUCCCAAGCGUUGUUCGGAUUUACUGGGCGUAAAGGGUGCGUAGGCGGUCGGACAAGUCUGAGGUGAAAGCUCCAGGCUCAACUUGGAAAAGGCAUCGGAAACUGGCCGGCUCGAGGGUUGGAGGGGGGACUGGAAUUCUCGGUGUAGCAGUGAAAUGCGUAGAUAUCGAGAGGAACACCAGUGGCGAAGGCGAGUCCCUGGACAACUCCUGACGCUGAGGCACGAAAGCUAGGGGAUCAAACA
Molecule: ribosomal RNA, 426 nt
Filed under: uncultured prokaryote
Description: bacterial SSU rRNA
Rfam family: Bacterial small subunit ribosomal RNA
Source: RNAcentral